UUGGGUUUAAAGGGAGCGUAGGCCGGAGAUUAAGUGUGUUGUGAAAUGUAGACGCUCAACGUCUGACUUGCAGCGCAUACUGGUUUCCUUGAGUACGCACAACGUUGGCGGAAUUCGUCGUGUAGCGGUGAAAUGCUUAGAUAUGACGAAGAACUCCGAUUGCGAAGGCAGCUGACGGGAGCGCAACUGACGCUGAAGCUCGAAGGUGCGGGUAUCGAACAGGAUUAGAUACCCUGGUAGUCCGCACAGUAAACGAUGGAUGCCCGCUGUUGGUACCUGGUAUCAGCGGCUAAGCGAAAGCAUUAAGCAUCCCACCUGGGGAGUACGCCGGCAACGGUGAAACUCAAAGGAAUUGACGGGGGCCCGCACAAGCGGAGGAACAUGUGGUUUAAUUCGAUGAUACGCGAGGAACCUUACCCGGGCUUGAAUUGCAGAGGAAGGAUUUAGAGAUAAUGACGCCCUUCGGGGUCUCUGUGAAGGUGCUGCAUGGUUGUCGUCAGCUCGUGUCGUGAG
Molecule: ribosomal RNA, 513 nt
Filed under: uncultured bacterium
Lineage: Bacteria
Description: bacterial SSU rRNA
Rfam family: Bacterial small subunit ribosomal RNA
Source: RNAcentral